RNAcentral lists this ribosomal RNA (465 nucleotides) under Vreelandella stevensii. Its description in RNAcentral is "partial 16S ribosomal RNA". It matches the Rfam family "Bacterial small subunit ribosomal RNA", at positions 338 to 795 of the family's 1533-position model. The record is from RNAcentral. Lineage: Bacteria; Pseudomonadati; Pseudomonadota; Gammaproteobacteria; Oceanospirillales; Halomonadaceae.
CCUACGGGUGGCAGCAGUGGGGAAUAUUGGACAAUGGGCGAAAGCCUGAUCCAGCCAUGCCGCGUGUGUGAAGAAGGCCUUCGGGUUGUAAAGCACUUUCAGUGGGGAAGAAAGCCUUGGGGCUAAUACCCUCGAGGAAGGACAUCACCCACAGAAGAAGCACCGGCUAACUCCGUGCCAGCAGCCGCGGUAAUACGGAGGGUGCGAGCGUUAAUCGGAAUUACUGGGCGUAAAGCGCGCGUAGGCGGUCUGAUAAGCCGGUUGUGAAAGCCCCGGGCUCAACCUGGGAACGGCAUCCGGAACUGUCAGGCUAGAGUGCAGGAGAGGAAGGUAGAAUUCCCGGUGUAGCGGUGAAAUGCGUAGCGAUCGGGAGGAAUACCAGUGGCGAAGGCGGCCUUCUGGACUGACACUGACGCUGAGGUGCGAAAGCGUGGGUAGCAAACAGGAUUAGAUACCCGUGUAGUC